This 341-nucleotide long non-coding RNA is filed under the name Elaeis guineensis (African oil palm). RNAcentral describes it as "long non-coding RNA (EGUI_LNC011795)". The record is from RNAcentral. Lineage: Eukaryota; Viridiplantae; Streptophyta; Magnoliopsida; Arecales; Arecaceae.
CCUCGUUAACUCCACCGUUUCACCCAAACAACAAUACGAGUAUAGAACCACUUAAUUGCACUCAUAACUAAUCCACCCAUCAAAUCCAACUAAUUAGCUCACUUAACCUGAAGGACUUGUACCUUCCGAUGGCGAGCCUUCCUGGCUUCCACCAUUGCUUCUAGAAUCCAGAGGAGGAAUGGUGAUGGUUGGAGGAGCGGCAAUGGUGGAGCUGGUGGUGGAGGUGGGCAUGGAGGAGGAGGAGAGGCUUCUGGCUUUGAGGUCCAGGAGAUGGAGGCCCAUGAAUCGCCUAUUCUGGAGCUCAAUGGCCUGCUGCAGCUCCGCUGCUUGCUGCUGCUCUU